Molecule: ribosomal RNA, 497 nt
Filed under: uncultured bacterium
Lineage: Bacteria
Description: partial 16S ribosomal RNA
Rfam family: Bacterial small subunit ribosomal RNA
Source: RNAcentral
GAUGAACGCUGGCGGCGUGCCUAAUACAUGCAAGUCGAGCGAACAGACGAGGAGCUUGCUCCUCUGACGUUAGCGGCGGACGGGUGAGUAACACGUGGAUAACCUACCUAUAAGACUGGGAUAACUUCGGGAAACCGGAGCUAAUACCGGAUAAUAUAUUGAACCGCAUGGUUCAAUAGUGAAAGACGGUUUUGCUGUCACUUAUAGAUGGAUCCGCGCCGCAUUAGCUAGUUGGUAAGGUAACGGCUUACCAAGGCGACGAUGCGUAGCCGACCUGAGAGGGUGAUCGGCCACACUGGAACUGAGACACGGUCCAGACUCCUACGGGAGGCAGCAGCAGGGAAUCUUCCGCAAUGGGCGAAAGCUUGACGGAGCAACGCCGCGUGAGUGAUGAAGGUCUUCGGAUCGUAAAACUCUGUUAUUAGGGAAGAACAAAUGUGUAAGUAACUAUGCACGUCUUGACGGUACCUAAUCAGAAAGCCACGGCUAACUACGUG